This 5480-nucleotide unclassified non-coding RNA is filed under the name Hevea brasiliensis (rubber tree). Lineage: Eukaryota; Viridiplantae; Streptophyta; Magnoliopsida; Malpighiales; Euphorbiaceae. The record is from RNAcentral.
UUCCAUUGCAAAAUUUACAUCCUGUGUAAAGUCGAGCAGCCGAAGAAAAUUUGAGUGGUUUCGUGCACCAAUGACAGGGUUUCCAGCAACAUGAGAAAUUGUACCCUUGGAUAUCAUAGCCUUAUCAACUGUUGCUUGAUUAUUUAAGUUAUCAAUGUCUGAUGCUGAUGACGAUGGUGAUUCACCUUGGGAAAAAGUUUGUAAGCAUGCUUGCAACUCAUUUCGGCAUAAGCUAGAAUUUUUGCAGUUAACUACCCUCCAAUAUGCAAUUUCCAUGCAUUUAUAUGCCAAAGAAGCAGCUGCCAUUUCAUGCCGUCUUUCAUAUUCUAAGGCACAGCAUUCGCAAAGUUUAGCUGUAGUGCUGUACAUUUGUAUUUGAGUCACCUCUCCCUGUCUGCCUGCAUCAUUGCAAGUUUCCAGAAGAGAAGCUCCAUGAAGAAACAUUAGAGCAGCUUGGAAGUUUGUUUCAUUACUCUCAAAACCAAACCCAGAGAUCUUAAGACGAUCAGCGUAAUCUCUCAUUUUUUUGGCUUCUUUCAGGGCAUUACUAGCAGUUUGGCUAGAGGAAUUUGUUCUCCCAGUACUUGAAGCAUUAAGAUCUCUGGCCCCUUUCAUAUCAAGCAUACAGUGACCCAAACUUUGGCGAGCUCCAUUGUUGGUCCCAGGAUUUUCCAGGUUUUUUGAUACCUUUGACACAUCAUCAUUUCCAGAGACAUAACACCAACGCCUGACAGAUGCUCCUUCCUGCUGGGAGGUUGGUGCUGAUUGGUGACUACUCUCAUGCUUAGCUUCCUGCCCAGAAUGUGCAGCUAAUUUUUUAGUCCCACUUCUUGAAUCUCUUUGCAUAGGAUCCAGUUUAGUUUCACCGUCAAAAUCCUGGAUCAGGUUCUCCGGUGUGGCAGUGUUCCACUUCCUGAUGCGUACAGCACUCAAUUUUGCAUCUGAAUCAGCCCGCUCUCCUAGUUUUGAUGGAUUCUCCAUUCUGCCAUCUUUUGAGCAUUGUCCUAUAGAAUCACUCAGGCUAACUCGAACCUUCUCAUCCUUAUUUGACUUGCUGCUAGGCUUACUAGGAAUACCAUGUUUAACAUUGUUCAUUCUUUUAAGCAAGGAUGCACGAGAUCUUGGAUCAAUCUCUGACUCAUUCCUUAUGCUCUUCUUUGAAAAAUCACCAUGUGCAUUCACUGGUUCAGAAACCUUCAUCUCAUCUCUAUCAAAAUCAGAUGUAGAACUUCUAUCAUUGUCUUUCAACAGUACAGAUGAACCUUUACCAAAUUUCUGUGGAAACAACACAUUGUCAUGUUGGUUCUUAUCUUCUCUAUCCUCAUCAUGGCAAUAUUUGAUAGCAAGCAGACCACCAGAGCACUCACGACGUCCUGUGAUUUCAACACCACCAUUAAGCAAAUCAGAAGAACAUUUAGUUUGACCAAUUUUGUGACUCGCAUCUCCAUCCUGGUAAUCUAGCAGAAAAGGUUUACAGGAUUCAGGAUGAUGGUCACCGGAGACUUUCUCCUUCUUUGCUUUCCCAGAUUGAUUAAUCUGACCAUCACCUUCCCCAUCCCUGCAUCUUCUUCGUCCAUCAAUUACAGGAAGGCCAUCAUUUGUAGCAUUAUCUUUUGCUAGAAUAUUUCCUCCAGUUGAACCAAGCUUUUCUCCAAAUGAGGCCCUCAAAGGAGAUGACGAAACUGAUUCUACAGGUGAGCCUUUCGCAUCAUCAAAGGUUGCUCUUGUUUUAAGAGAACCUGAAACCUUCGAAGAGCUUGAGGUGGCUGUCAUUGGAAGUUGUCCAGGUCCACAAUCCUUUUUUGAUGAGUCUACAACAUCCAAAGUUAUUUGAGAUGCAAAAUUUCUUCUAUGUUUCCUUGUUUGCUCAUCCUUAUGAAUACUUUUUACAGCUUCCAUGCCAUCAUUUAGAUGAUCUUGACUUCCUACUGAUAAAACAGGACCCGCCUUCUCUUUUCUGUCUAAUUUAUCAUUGCAGUUAUUCAUACUGGAAGCCCCACUCUUCGAAACCCUGGAUUUCUUUUCCUUCUUUAAUCCAACACACUCACCUUUUUCCUUGGCAUUUAAACUGCUGUUGGCACCAUUCUGAUUGUCCUGCCACUCCCUCAAUUUCCUUUUCUUCAUAGAAAUAUUUAUUUUGUCACUUGUGCCCAUAUUCAAGGACCCACCAUCUGAUGACAUCUGAGUUCGGUCUCCCAACUUCUUCAUGGAAACUAGUAAUUUUUCCUUUCUAUCAAAUUUCAAAUCCCCUGAAAAAUGCUCAUUUGAUUUGCACACUUCUUUUCCACUUGCUUUAGUUGAUAACCCACUUUUUGAAUUUAGACCCAUCCUGCCAAGGUCCAUAUCAGAAUUAUGAUAUUUAUCAGUAUGGGAUGCAUUCUCAGUCUUAGUUUUCUCAGAAGUCUCAUAUUCAUAAUGAUCAGUCUCCCUCUUGUUUUUCAUUUUUAUCUGCUUUGUGUCACCUCCAUCAAUAUGAUUCUCUUUCUGCUCCGCAACCAAGUUAUGUGACGUAUUCAAAGCAUGAAAAGUAGAUUUGUUCAUUUGAUUUGCUUCUGCAGGAGACUGGUUCAUAUCAUUUAAGCUUCUGCUUUUCACAGAUUCCUGCAAGUUGUACUGGUUCUUUGUCGAGUUCGAUGACUGGAUCAUGCCACUACUGCUACCUGCCUUCCCCAUUUUCUUCAUACCCCGCUUCUUCUUUCCUGGAAACAAAGCAGCAUGGGAAUCGAAACUUUGGUGGUUGCGGUCAACAUGUGGGUUAUGCACUCUAGAUGUAGUUCCACUGGCAUGAUUUUGCAGAUUAUUUUGACCAGCAGCAUAAGGAAGCUGAAACAAUGAAUUGAGAGCUUUUGUUGUCUCUUCCUCACUGAUGUCACACCGGUUCUUUCCAGGCAGCCAGUUUAGCAUAGUACACAGCCACUUUUCGGGGAGUUGAUGAGGCUUUAUGCCAUAGGGUAACAACCGCCACUUCUGACAACUGUCACAACAGACCCAAUUUUCUUCUAUAAGUAUAGGACCUGUAACAGGUGGUGCCACUUCAGAAGCAAGUGCAUUUUCAGGUAUUGAAGAGCCCACAUAUGCAACAUCUUUGACCAAUUCCCCAGGCAUCAGCUGGUCACCGACUCUUUUACCAUUAAAUCUUUCCCUUGACUUAUCAAAAGAUGCAUGUUGCUCCAUCUCGAGAUCUUCCAUUGUAGAUUCUUUCUGCCUACUAGCAUAAGGCCUCUCUGACAAACCCAUUUGACUAUUUUUCUGUUCCGAUUUCAAGUCCAAAGGAUCUCUAUGAUUAUCUCUGACCUUACUAAUGUCCUUCUGCAACUUCCACUUGUGCAUCUUAACUUUACUUUUAGAAACACCACAAGUAGCAGAAGCUGUAUCUUUAGGUGCUCCACUGUCACCAAUACCCAAGCUUUCCUUUGAGGGAACAGCAGCUGAUUUUUUGCUACUUUCAGUGCCACAUGACUUCUUGCCGUCCAACAAUUGCCUUUCCUUCCCACCAGGCACGGAGAACUCAUCUUGCUGAUCAAUCUUCUGUUUUGAAGAAGCCAGUGAUCCAACUUUAAGAUCUUCCUCGCAUUUGGAUGCAUCAAAGUAACCUUUUGAAAAAGCAGAAAGUUUACUUUUCUUGGAUUUACCAUUACCAUCACAACUAAGUGCUUUAUGUUCCAAAACCUUUUCUACUGAACUAUUCUGAGCAUUUCUCUUCUCACUCUUGCCACUGUCCUGGCCAGAUCUGGACUCUAAAGAGUCUUCCUUCAUGAAGUCAGAAGAAAACAAUUUAUUUCUUAUCCUACCCUGAUCAGCCUCCCUGGGAACUUCAGAUGACCAGCCAGUUGCUUUCAGAAUCUCACCACCAUUUGCUGUAACUGGUAGAGGCAUACUCUUCAAGUCACUAGAUAAAACGUCCUUGUUGUCUGCAUUGUCAUUUUCUAACUUUUUCUUGUCCGAAAAAGCUGUACUGUUCUCAAAAAUAAUACCAUUCCCACAUUUCAUAUCUACUGCUCUUUCACUCUUCCCUAAAAAUUCCACCUCAUUCCCCUUCAACAGUUUACCAUUACCCAUAAAAGAAAUCGAUUCAUCUGCCAAUAAGGCAAAAUUGUCUUGACUACCCUUAAGGGAAAGCGCAAGUUUACUGUCUCUAGAUAAUUUCUCCUUUCUUAUCAAACAAAGCAGACUCUCAUGAAGAGGUGAUAUUAGGGCAACCCCAGGGACUGGGAAGGAAAUCAUCGUCUGAAGAAUGCUAGUGGGAGACUCAUCUGCAAUUUGUUGGACUACAGGCAGCAUUCCAUCACUUUCCUCAGGACUGUUUCCCAAUGAUGAAGAUGGAGAGUUAUCAAGCCCAAGACCACUAUAAAUGGCAGCAUUUUUUCGUGCCACACUAUCAGGACCCACUUUUAUCCUAACCUUCAGUGUUCUUUGGUCAGAUAAAUUGCCUGCUUUAUUGGAGUUCCCAUCCUUCAGAUUAGACUCCCAAGAAAAUCGAGCAGAAGAAACGCUGGAAUCUUGCUUUACUGAAAAAUCCCCAGAUGCCAACCUUGACUUAUGCAAUGCAUUGGCACUGUAGGAAGCAGUUCCAAGCUUCACAGAUGGGAGAGCAUUGGAGGGAACUCUCAAACUCUGGGGGGCACCCUGUAUGGUAACAUAAUCCACAGUGCUCAAGUAAAAUAGAAUUGCCCAAGCUGACAAUAUCAGCCAUAUAUAUCACCAUUUUACCAAAUCAUUAAAAACAGGUGGAAAAUUUUCCAUAUACCUCCACAGGAAAACUAUUAGGAGAUCUUGGUGGGCUAGAGUUAUUUUGUGGAGUCUUUGGAUGUGAACAAGCAGAGUUUCUUUGUGGAGAUCGUUCAUAGGUAGGCAGAAAUGAGCCAUACCCACCAAAUUUAGCCCCCAAAUUCUCUGCAGAAACGCCUCCCUCAAAAUCCUUUUGAAAAUGGCCUAAAACAUUUUGUAUCUUCUCAUCAAUGUAAGAGAGAGCAAUCUCAGGGUCUACGUUGUUGUCGUCAUCGUCGUCCCUGCACCGGAAAGCCUUUCCUUCCUCAAGCUCAGAAUUCUCCUCCAUCCCCAUAAAUCCCAAAGAAAACCCUAAUCCUAAAAACCUAAUCCUAACCCCAAAACCCUAAGCGAACCUUCCCUAAAGUCCAGCAUCACCUCAACUCCUACAGAAAAAAUCCCACAAAAGCACUCAAAAAACCCACCAGAACCGAGGAACUAAAUCCCCUACUACCGACUUUGGCCUUGGCAUAUCACAAACCCUCAUUGAUUAAUAAAUAUUAUGAACCAAGAACGUUGAUUAACGAUUAAUUUCUAUAUCGGAACUCACGAUCGGGAGCAGAGAAUUGAUUGGAUAAUAAAUCAGAGUUUAAUCGAGCUCGACUCGGCCGGGUCACGGUGCCGAGUUCGAUUGGAUUCUAAAAUAUUUUAACUUCUCGCUGGUUUCUUUUGAUUGAUGCGUGCGGCAAUGGAAGCAACCUACUGUUUUUUUU